UGGGGAAUAUUGGACAAUGGGCGAAAGCCUGAUCCAGCCAUGCCGCGUGUGUGAAGAAGGUCUUCGGAUUGUAAAGCACUUUAAGUUGGGAGGAAGGGCAGUAAGCGAAUACCUUGCUGUUUUGACGUUACCGACAGAAUAAGCACCGGCUAACUCUGUGCCAGCAGCCGCGGUAAUACAGAGGGUGCAAGCGUUAAUCGGAAUUACUGGGCGUAAAGCGCGCGUAGGUGGUUCGUUAAGUUGAAUGUGAAAGCCCCGGGCUCAACCUGGGAACUGCAUCCAAAACUGGCGAGCUAGAGUAGGGCAGAGGGUGGUGGAAUUUCCUGUGUAGCGGUGAAAUGCGUAGAUAUAGGAAGGAACUCCAGUGGCGAAGGCGACCACCUGGGCUCAUACUGACACUGAGGUGCGAAAGCGUGGGGAGCAAACAGG
RNAcentral lists this ribosomal RNA (429 nucleotides) under Pseudomonadota bacterium. RNAcentral's name for it is "Proteobacteria bacterium partial 16S ribosomal RNA". It matches the Rfam family "Bacterial small subunit ribosomal RNA", at positions 355 to 776 of the family's 1533-position model. Lineage: Bacteria; Pseudomonadati; Pseudomonadota. The record is from RNAcentral.